RNAcentral lists this ribosomal RNA (301 nucleotides) under uncultured bacterium. Its description in RNAcentral is "partial 16S ribosomal RNA". It matches the Rfam family "Bacterial small subunit ribosomal RNA", at positions 509 to 807 of the family's 1533-position model. The record is from RNAcentral.
CAGUAGCCGCGGUAAUACGUAGGUGGCAAGCGUUGUCCGGAAUUAUUGGGCGUAAAGGGCUCGCAGGCGGUUUCUUAAGUCUGAUGUGAAAUUCCUGGGCUCAACCUGGGGACUGCAUUUGAUACGUAUGGACUUGAGUGGAGAAGAGGGUUGUGGAAUUUCCAGUGUAGAGGUGAAAUUCGUAGAUAUUGGAAAGAACACCGGUGGCGAAGGCGGCAACCUGGUCUUUAACUGACGCUGAGGCGCGAAAGCGUGGGGAGCAAACAGGAUUAGAUACCCGCGUAGUCCCUGUCUCUUAUAC